Long non-coding RNA from Saccostrea cuccullata (small rock oyster), 485 nucleotides. RefSeq lists it as uncharacterized. The transcript has 4 exons. The record is from RefSeq and is a predicted model, not a curated record. Lineage: Eukaryota; Metazoa; Mollusca; Bivalvia; Ostreida; Ostreidae.
UGAAAGUACAGCUCUCUACAGAAUUAAUUCUAAAGCCAAAGCUACACCUCGUCACCAUGAGAAUCUCUGCUGUUUUCCUGCUUGUAAUUUCAAUCUAUUUUGUUCAGAGCUUUGAAGAUGAAAAGGAAAAAUGCAGCGCCCGCUACCCGAGCAUGAAAGGAAAAUGUCCCAAGGAACCGUGUGCCAUGACGACAUGUGAUGAGGCUGGAGCCGUCUGCAAAAACAAUUACUGCGGUGGAUGCAAUGCAAAGUGGUACACAAACGGAGAAAUCUCGGAGAAGUGCUCCAAAUUUUUCUUGGAGAAAAAUCAGUAGGAAGCAUAAGAAGUACGAGCCUAUUAGCAGAUUCUUCAAGACCCCGCGUCAUGCUCUGUAAAGGAUCAGUUUUUGAGAAGGAAUUUCAUUAAAAAAAAUCAUUCAUGAUUUUGUCCGAGUUCUGUAUUUCUUUAAUGCAUUGACAAAAGUUUUGAUAAAGUAUAAGAUUGU